AAACCUGCACCUCAAGUGGUCAGGAUGAUUAUUGGGCCUAAAGCAUCCGUAGCCGGCUCUGUAAGUUUUCGGUUAAAUCUGUACGCUCAACGUACAGGCUGCCGGGAAUACUGCAGAACUAGGGAGUGGGAGAGGUAGACGGUACUCGGGAGGAAGUGGUAAAAUGCUUUGAUCUCUCGAUGACCACCUGUGGCGAAGGCGGUCUACCAGAACACGUCCGACGGUGAGGGAUGAAAGCUGGGGGAGCAAACCGGAUUAGAAACCCCGGUAGUCC
Molecule: ribosomal RNA, 274 nt
Filed under: uncultured bacterium
Lineage: Bacteria
Description: partial 16S ribosomal RNA
Rfam family: Archaeal small subunit ribosomal RNA
Source: RNAcentral